UACUUGCAGCAUCAGUUUGAAGCCGUGCGUGUUGAGUCUCUUACAGUAGCUGUUGUAUGCAUGUACCCAUACGGAUUAUGCAUGCACCAGAUCUUUUUCACAAUUCCCUUGCUGUGCCUGGCACUAGUUCAGCACCCCUUUCUGCUCCAGCCCUGGUGACCUCCACGCUGAUUUAGAAAAGCGCCUGAUUCCAGAUCUCAACACAUCCUUCUGUUCCAGACCUGAAUCUAUUCUUAGCAGAUACUGCCGGGGAGCAGCGAUUUUGUAAUGUGAGCAAACAUGCACUCUGGACUAUGUGGAGAUGCCAAACUAAUGUGGGGUUUUCUGAUCUGAGGUUUUUGUUUGGGCUGGCCUAGAUACAGGAAUCAACCACAAAUCUUGGGCUGGGAACCAGGUUCAGAUUGAAUUUUCCAAACUACAGUUUUCUUCAGAUAGCAAAAGGUCCAUACCAUGGUUUUGUAAGUCACAACAGAUGAGUUAGAGUACGCUCAUAAUGAGCCCAUUUAAAAUUUCAGACUCAAGAACAAAUGCAUAUCCACAUUAAAGAAUUAAUGUGAAGAAACGAUUUUAUUUCCUCUUAGCAUCCCCGCAUGUAUGGUGAAAAAAAUUUCCUCCCCAUCACUCAUCCUAAGGAGCAUAUUUGCCUAAAGCAGUUGUGAAUGAAAGUGGUGUAAUGAAAUCACCCUCAAUAGCCAGGCUGGGAAUUCAUCAAAAGAUCCAGUGAUCUUCUUAAAAACGUAUCAUUGCCUGUUGAACUGUGGAGCCUAAUGGAAGUAAAAUUGGUCGACAAAGUCAGUUUUAUUUUCCCAGAGUUAUGGACUUCAGUGUAUUUCCAAUACCCUGGUAAACGAAGCUCUGAACCUGUCUCUUGUUCAAUUCAAAGCAUUUAAUAACUGCAUAAAAAAAACUAGGCUGUUGAAAUUUAUAUCCAUAAGUUGUCAUCUCUGCCUUAUUUUCAGUUUUCCUGUGAAGUUAUUAAAACAUUGUGAUUAUACUGUA
Chelonia mydas (Green sea turtle) is the source of this 999-nucleotide long non-coding RNA. RefSeq lists it as uncharacterized. The record is from RefSeq and is a predicted model, not a curated record. NCBI's taxonomy places the organism in Eukaryota, Metazoa, Chordata, Testudines, Cheloniidae. The transcript is spliced from 2 exons.